GACUGCCCUGCCCAUUUUCCAGUUAGAGAAACAUUUUUGAGUUGAAGCAUGAUCUGAUUGUAGCAUAUUCUGUAACCUUUAGCUAUUCAAAAAUAGACUUUGCUUACAUUAGUAACUUUCAUCAUAUUUGCAUUUAUUUCCAAAAGGUUUAACUUUCCUAGAUUUAGGCUGAAUAGGUUUGAUGGUAACAAAAUGAAUAUUGCCCAGUCAUACUUGAAUGCCAACAUCAGAGGAGGCAGAGCUGCCACACUUGCAACUGAUGGAUGGACCUGAGCCCUAGGACCAUGCCUCAGGACUACCUGGCAUGAUGACUCCUUGCUGUCCCCAGUCCACCUCGCCGUGCUCCUGCUCCAGUUUCAAAUGUUCUGCCUGCGGCUAUGGAAUCCUGACCUGUUCACUGGACGUGCUACCUGUCCCAGAUCUAUUAUUUGACCAUGCUGGUCAUUUAUGAACAUUUGAACAUCUUGGCUAUGUUCUGUUAUAAUCUCCACCCGGCACAGCCAGAAGAGGACUGGCCACCCCUCAUAGCCUGGUUCCUCUCUAGGUUUCUUCCUAGGUUUUGGCCUUUCUAGGGAGUUUUUCCUAGCCAAUGUGCUUCAACACCUGCAUUGCUUGCUGUUUGGGGUUUUGGGCUGGGUUUCUGUACAGCACUUUGAGAUAUCAGCUGAUGUACGAAAGGCUAUAUAAAUACAUUUGAUUUGAUUCAGCAUUUAAAAAAUCCAGCAGCGUUGCAGUUCUUGACACACCCAAACCGGUGCACCUGGCACCUACCACCAUACCCCACACCUAAAUCUUUUGUCUUACCCAUUCACCCUCAGUGCAACACAUACACAAUCCACAUCUCAAGGCUUAAAAAUACUUAUUUAACCCAUCUCCUCCUCUUCAUCAAUAAGGGAUCAUAGCUUUCACCUGGAUUCAUCUGGUCAGUUUAUGUCAUGGAAAGAGCAGGUGUGUCUAAUGUUUUGUGCACUCAGUGCAUAUAUUUGUUUAAUUUUGGCAACACCACUGCAGUUGACCUAGACUUUGAAUACCACUGGUCUAGUACAAUGCUGCUUCCCAAUACAUCAUAUAAACCAGCUUAUCUUUCACAAUAGUCCAGUCCAUAAGAUCACUACUCUCCAGCAAACAGCAACCACCCAGACAGAGGGAGAUAAGAUUCUAUUAUUUCAGGUACGAUGUCACAGGCAAUUUUCUCUGGUUGCCACUGCUGGCCUGAGGCAAUAAUAAAAUAUGUGGAUAAACUAGGCCCAAGACCCAGCAGGGUCACGGAAGAAGGACAGCAAGGGCUUUCAAGGCUCCAGUCACAGCCGUUUUGGGAUUCAGCCUGGAAGGCAACUGAUAAGUCUGGUCGAAUCAAGAGGACCUCAUCAAUGCAUUUGUUUGCUCCUUGAAGUACAGGCACCAGCAGGCAGUGACAUCCAUCAACCAAGUCCUUAUUUCUAUUGACUUGGCGCCCUCUUGUGUUGAUGUGUGUAUCGGCAAGAGCAAGAGAGGCUCCAUAACAUCUUGUGCCUUGCUGAGCGACUCAUGUACAGUGGAUAUUACUUUAUUCCAUCAAUUAAGUGUCUACAAACAAUUUCCCCAAAUGUGUGCUUGGCAGGGAAUAAUGACACCUCUUAGUCACUGACAGCUCCACCCAGACAGCCUGUUGGUCUGGUGAGUAAUCCAUCAGGGUUGGUAGACAAGAGCACACGGGUGUGUUCACUAAGGUGAAACAUUUACAAUAAUGCAGAUAAAAAUUUAACCAAACAGAAAUUCCAG
Oncorhynchus tshawytscha (Chinook salmon) is the source of this 1761-nucleotide long non-coding RNA. NCBI's taxonomy places the organism in Eukaryota, Metazoa, Chordata, Actinopteri, Salmoniformes, Salmonidae. The record is from Ensembl.